Lolium rigidum is the source of this 2213-nucleotide long non-coding RNA. RefSeq lists it as uncharacterized. NCBI's taxonomy places the organism in Eukaryota, Viridiplantae, Streptophyta, Magnoliopsida, Poales, Poaceae. The transcript is spliced from 9 exons. The record is from RefSeq and is a predicted model, not a curated record.
CUCCUCAUGGUGGCCUGCUGCUGCUCCCAACGGCGUCCAACCGGAGGACCAAAAGCAGCCGUCUUCACCGGCCGCAGCUCCCUAUCUGCACCGCCGGCCUUCCCGUCCUCCAACCCCGACCAAAAUCAGCCCUCUUCCACGCCCGCCGCUUCGAUCUGCACCUCACAAAGCUGCUGCUAACGCCGAGGUGCUGCCAACACGAGCGCCUCUCCUGCUCAUCAAGGAAACAAUGGGCGCCUCCUACCCACUCACAAGGAUGAGGAUGCACACCUUCUGCUCUGCUCCCACUGCGGCCGGGGAUGAAUGCCGGAUGGAUGGCGGUACACCCCUGAUGGCGACCAUGGACGGACGGCGCCGCUAGUUUCACCAACCACGGCGCAGCAAGAGAAUUUCUUGUCCUCAACAUGGAGCGUGCCUUAUACCUGGAUAGUGGGAAGCAGCAGAUUCAGGACGACUUCCUCCACUCAUACAUAAUGGACAAUUACGACUGCAACCGAUAGGUGGCAUUGCUGGCGAGGAUGGGCGGCGGCGGGUUCAGGACGGUGACUUCUCGUAGCAAGGUGCAUCCUGCUGCACUCUCAGAUUUUGAUUUUUUGGCUUCCGGCUGCAGAGAAAGGGAGCUUGGCCUCCCAGUCUGUGCUGCUGACGCGGGAGCAAGGAUGGGCUGCAGCUGGUUGACUAUUGGGUGCGACCUACCUGGGACAUUCAGGAGAAUCUGGAAGAAGCUGUUGAGCACCUCACCAUGGAAAUCAUGCUGAAUCUGAGCUCAGCAAUCGUCUGCUCUUGCUGUUAUCUUGGUUCCUUUGACAACGGUGUGGCGGGACAGAUGGACUGCAACCCUGGUACCUCAAGUUGCAGAUUUCCUCAGGCGGCAUUGGUGGCGAGGAUGGGCGGCGGCGAGUUCAGGAGGGCGACUUACUCGCAGAACAACCACUUCUCGUAGCAAGGGAGCUUGGCUUCCCAGUCUGUGCCGCUGACGUGGGAGCAAGGAUGGGCUGCAGCUGGUUAACUAUUGGGUGCGACCUACCUGGGACAAUCAGGAGAAUCUGGAAGCAGCUAUUGAGCACUUCACCAUGGAAAUCCUGUUGAAUCUGAGCUCAUCAAUCAUUUGUUCUUGCUGUUGUGUUUUUGCGUCGACAACGGUAUGGUGGGACAGAUAGACUGCCACGCUGGCGCCUCGAGUGGCAGGUUUUCUCAGGUGAUUCCUCAGGCUCCCCCUUGCAGUGUGUCGUGGCUUGUUGUUUCAACCACCGAGUGAGUGCCCUAGGCCCUGCCAUUGAGCCCUUGCUCUUUUUGGAAUUUCUUGUACUGGUGAAUGUGCUGUUGGUGGCUAACUUGAUCCGGCACUCGUUGUAUUUGCUAGCUCUGUUUCUGAUUACUGGAAUGGGAGUGUUGCUCAGGUGUAUACUGGCAUGUUAAUUCCGAUGGAUCUUGUCUUUAGAUUAUCAUAGAAUACAUAAAUUUUUUGAUGAUAUCUUUUUCAUUUGUUCCUUUUAGUAAUACUCCUGGCACAUUCCUUAUUCUUGAUCAGUCGUGCUUGCUUUGGAUUGCUUGGCAUGGUAAUUCCAUCUUGUUCUUGAUUGUCCUUUUACAAAUCCUUGCUGACCAAAGGGUACCUCUUAAUUGAUUUGGAUUGCUGGUUAUGCUAUUUUGCUUAUUGGACAUAAUCUGUUGCUUGUAACUGUCUUAACUGACUGCAAUUUUCAGUUCAUUAUGUGUUGUUCGUGUUUGAUGGAUACAUAUCCUUGGAAUAUUUAUUAGAAACUACUACCGCCGGUCCAAAAGGCUAAUUUAGCAUACUGAAACUUGUCGUAUUUUGGGACAGAGGAAGUAGCAUAUAUCUUCCUUGCUUUGAACUCACCUGUACUUGAGAUAAAUUCCUUUUACUGUUGAUUUUUGAUGUUUCUCAAUUGCAAGAUUUAGAAGGCUGUGAGCAUAGAAGGCUGCUAUCUAGUGCAUGACUGGAGGGAAGAAGUGAAAGCUGCUCUUGUUUGCGAAACCAGAAGUUGUAUUGGUUGUCAGACUGUUUAUUGUAACUCCAAAUCUGGAAUGUUUCAGACCGGUCAUUCUUAUAAUUCUCAAGUCUAGAAGUUGUAAUGGUGUAGUUGUAACGUCUGUUUGGUUAAACUUGUGAUGAUGUUGGGUUGUGCUGUUGCAUUUUCAUUUGUUACUGUUCGAUUUUUGAUUUGAUUGUCCAAAAUAUAGUGGAAGGU